GACAGCUCAGUCGGUAGAGCAUGAGACUCUUAAUCCCAAGGCUUUGGGUUCGAGUCCCACGUUGGGCA
Molecule: transfer RNA, 68 nt
Filed under: Podarcis lilfordi (Lilford's wall lizard)
Lineage: Eukaryota; Metazoa; Chordata; Lepidosauria; Squamata; Lacertidae
Description: tRNA.Lys
Rfam family: tRNA (bases 4-60)
About the family: Transfer RNA (tRNA) molecules are approximately 80 nucleotides in length. Their secondary structure includes four short double-helical elements and three loops (D, anti-codon, and T loops).
Source: RNAcentral